This 253-nucleotide ribosomal RNA is filed under the name uncultured bacterium. RNAcentral describes it as "partial 16S ribosomal RNA". It matches the Rfam family "Bacterial small subunit ribosomal RNA", at positions 524 to 776 of the family's 1533-position model. The record is from RNAcentral.
UACAUGGGGUGCAAACGUUGCUCGGAAUUAUUGGGCGUAAAGCGCGCGUAGGCGGUUACCUAAGUCGGAUGUGAAAGCCCUCGGCUUAACUGAGGAAGUGCACCCGAAACUGGGUAGCUAGAGUACUAAAGAGGGUCGCGGAAUUCCCGGUGUAGAGGUGAAAUUCGUAGAUAUCGAGAGGAACACCGGUGGCGAAGGCGGCCAACUGGACAGAUACUGACGCUGAGACACGAAAGCGUGGGGAGCAAACAGG